GCGUGGGUGAAGAAGGUCCUCGGAUUGUAAAGCCCUUUCGGCGGGGACGAUGGUGACGGUACCCGCAGAAGAAGCCCCGGCCAACUUCGUGCCAGCAGCCGCGGUAAUACGAAGGGGGCUAGCGUUGCUCGGAAUUACUGGGCGUAAAGGGCGCGUAGGCGGCCCCGCCUGUCCGGCGUGAAAUCCCGGGGCUCAACCCCGGGGCUGCGCUGGAGACGGCGGGGCUGGAGGCGAGGAGAGGGUCGCGGAAUUCCCAGUGUAGAGGUGAAAUUCGU
This 275-nucleotide ribosomal RNA is filed under the name uncultured bacterium. RNAcentral describes it as "partial 16S ribosomal RNA". It matches the Rfam family "Bacterial small subunit ribosomal RNA", at positions 399 to 691 of the family's 1533-position model. The record is from RNAcentral.